CGAUGAACCGUACAUAUUAAUAAUGUGUGGUGUGGGUUGUCGUCGGCAGCCAGCCAGGAUUCUUCCUCCUCUCCCUCGUUCCUCGUCGCCACCCUCUCCCUCCUCGUGCUCGCCUCCAUCUUCUUCUUCUACUCCUUCGUCGCCUCUCUCGAGAAGUUCCUCACCUCCCGGCGCCCUGUCUCCGCCGGAUCUUCCUCCGUCGCGGCCAACGCGGGCGGAGCCGCCGUAAAAGCGCUCGAUGACAAGAUCUGGGGGAAGGAAACAGGGAGGCUUUAUGGGGAUCCGGCGGAUCCGUGGUCGGGGCUGUCGGUGGUUAGGGUUUAUGUGUACGAGAUGCCGGCCAAGUUCACCUACGAUCUUCUCUGGCUCUUCAGGAAUACCUAUAAGGAGACGACGAAUUUGACGUCCAAUGGAAGCCCCGUUCAUCGCCUCAUCGAACAGGUUCUUGCCGAUUCCCUCGCAGAAAGAUCGGACUAGUGCAUUCGCCGGAGGCGCGGAAACCCUGGGGAUCGAGGGAUUUCUUGGAGAAAAUGAUUUGAUUUCGAGACAUUUUGUGGUUGUUGAGAUUUGCUGGAGCUGAGUUCUUGCUGCGGAAACCCUCGAAAUUGAGACAUUUUGUGGAGGAAACGCUGUAGUUAUUGACGUACGACAAACCCUUGUUUGAGGUUAUUGCCACCAGAUGAGAGAAAAUAUACCUUCAGUGAUACUGUACUGUGAUAAACUAUACCACCAGGAAGCAUGAGGUUAGCUGUUGAUAGGACUUGCUUACUGCUGGCCUUUCCAAUUGCAUCUUUUUUUUGUGCUGGUUUUCUUUUUUCCUUUUGCUUUCCUUUUGGUGAAAAGGAAAUUUAAAGAGUUAAAUUUAAAGCUAGUGAAAAGCUUAGCAGCCUCUGUAAUCGUUGCAACUGUUUUUGAUUUGUCUGCAUUUGAUCUAAUGUUACCUGACACAGGAUCUCAUAAUACUCUCUCUUUUUUUCUUUUAAUGAACGAUGAAGUGAGGCAUCUCCUCCAUUCUUAUUAAUCAUAUAAAAUAUAUUUACAAGGUAAGUUGGCUAAGUUAUAAAAGUGCAUUUAUGUAUGGAGGAUCUCAUAAUACUCAUAUUUGUUCUUAACUCAGCAGAUGGAUCCUAUAAGAAAACUGUGUAUUGAGGAUCUUAUAAUACUCAUAUUUGCUCUUAACUCAUAUAUGGAUCCAAUAAGAAAACUGUGUUGGUUUUGCUGCGAAAGAUUAAUGGCUUAUCCUCCUUAUGCAUAAUUGAGCAGGGGACCAGGCGUUGUAGUCCUAAUCCUAUCAUGGAUCAUCACCUUAUAUACUCUCUGGCAAAUGGUAGAGAUGCAUGAGAUGGUACCUGGAAAGCGAUUCGAUCGUACCAUGAGCUGGGGCAGCAUGCCUUCGGAGACAAGCUUGGUCUUUGGAUUGUGGUGCCUCAGCAACUUGUCGUGGAGGUGGGCGUGAACAUCGUCUACAUGGUCACAGGCGGAAAAUCUCUAAAGAAGUUCCAUGAUGUUGUCUACCCUGACUGCAAAAACAUCAAAGUCACCUAUUUCAUCAUGAUCUUCGCCUCACUGCACUUUGUUCUCUCCCAACUGCCCAACUUCAACUCAAUUUCAGGUGUCUCCUUGGCAGCUGCUGUCAUGUCCCUCAGGCAUAUACUCUUCUCUAUGAUGCCAAAGCACCUGAUUAUUCUCUCUGACUCUAUAUUGCUACAUGUUGGGUAACAUUAUUUUAGAAAUCAUUAGUGACAGUAUCUUUAUAAGGGGCUUGGUUAUGCUUACGAUUUGUACUUUUGAUCACUUAAAUGAUGAUGUUGUUGAGAAGCUGAUGGUUACUGUCCCUGGUUUCCAGCAGCUGUUCUUCAGCUGCAAUCAACACAGUAACCUUAAUUCAAUAGAAGGUACUGCCUAUGUUUUCAGGUUUUUGUUGUGGUGAUUACACAAUCUGAUU
This is a non-coding RNA of Phoenix dactylifera (date palm), 1945 nucleotides long. The record is from RefSeq and is a predicted model, not a curated record. NCBI's taxonomy places the organism in Eukaryota, Viridiplantae, Streptophyta, Magnoliopsida, Arecales, Arecaceae.